UAGGGAAUCUUCCGCAAUGGACGAAAGUCUGACGGAGCAACGCCGCGUGAGUGAAGAAGGAUUUCGGUUCGUAAAACUCUGUUGUUAGGGAAGAAAAAAUGUAUAGUAACUAUAUACAAACGAGACGGUACCUAACCAGAAAGCCACGGCUAACUACGUGCCAGCAGCCGCGGUAAUACGUAGGUGGCAAGCGUUGUCCGGAAUUAUUGGGCGUAAAGCGCGCGCAGGCGGACUAGCCAGUCAGUCUUAAAAGUUCGGGGCUUAACCCCGUGAUGGGAUUGAAACUACUAGUCUAGAGUAUCGGAGAGGAAAGUGGAAUUCAUAGUGUAGCGGUGAAAUGCGUAGAUAUUAGGAAGAACACCAGUGGCGAAGGCGACUUUCUGGACGAACACUGACGCUGAGGCGCGAAAGCCAGGGGAGCGAACGGG
This 428-nucleotide ribosomal RNA is filed under the name Verrucomicrobiota bacterium. Its description in RNAcentral is "Verrucomicrobia bacterium partial 16S ribosomal RNA". It matches the Rfam family "Bacterial small subunit ribosomal RNA", at positions 355 to 776 of the family's 1533-position model. The record is from RNAcentral. Lineage: Bacteria; Pseudomonadati; Verrucomicrobiota.